RNAcentral lists this ribosomal RNA (163 nucleotides) under uncultured bacterium. RNAcentral's name for it is "partial 16S ribosomal RNA". It matches the Rfam family "Bacterial small subunit ribosomal RNA", at positions 355 to 510 of the family's 1533-position model. The record is from RNAcentral.
UAGGGAAUCUUCCACAAUGGACGAAAGUCUGAUGGAGCAACGCCGCGUGAGUGAAGAAGGGUUUCGGCUCGUAAAGCUCUGUUGUUAAAGAAGAACGUGGGUAAGAGUAACUGUUUACCCAGUGACGGUAUUUAACCAGAAAGCCACGGCUAACUGCGUGCCA